This 373-nucleotide ribosomal RNA is filed under the name uncultured organism. RNAcentral describes it as "partial 16S ribosomal RNA". It matches the Rfam family "Bacterial small subunit ribosomal RNA", at positions 527 to 896 of the family's 1533-position model. The record is from RNAcentral.
AGAGGGUGCAAGCGUUAAUCGGAAUCAUUGGGCGUAAAGCGCACGUAGGUGGUGAUGUGUGUUGGCUGUGAAAGUCCCGGGCUUAACCUGGGGAGGCCAGUCAAAACUGCAUCACUAGAGUCUAUCAGAGGGUAGUGGAAUUUCCGGUGUAGCGGUGAAAUGCGUAGAGAUCGGAAGGAACAUCAGUGGCGAAGGCGACUACCUGGGGUAAGACUGACACUGAGGUGCGAAAGCGUGGGGGGAGCAAACAGGAUUAGAUACCCUGGUAGUCCACGCUGUAAACGAUGACAACUAGCCGUUCGUUUCUAUACGGAAUGAGUGGCGCAGCUAACGCGCUAAGUUGUCCCGCCUGGGGAGUACGGCCGCAAGGUUA